CGGGAAACUGGGGAUAAUACCCUAUAGACGAUGGAUGCUGGAAGGCUGCGUAGGUGAAAGGUCCGCCGCGGUAGGAUGGGUCUGCGGCCGAUUAGGUUGUUGUGGGGGUAACGGCCCAACAAGCCUGUAAUCGGUACGGGUUGUGGGAGCAAGAGCCCGGAGAUGGAGUCUGAGACACGAAUCCAGGCCCUACGGGGCGCAGCAGGCGCGAAAACUUUACAAUGCGGGAAACCGUGAUAAGGGAACUCUGAGUGCCCGUAAAAUCGGGCUGUCCAUCAGUUUAAAUAACUGGUGAAGAAAGGGCCGGGCAAGACCGGUGCCAGCCGCCGCGGUAACA
Molecule: ribosomal RNA, 337 nt
Filed under: uncultured archaeon
Lineage: Archaea
Description: partial 16S ribosomal RNA
Rfam family: Archaeal small subunit ribosomal RNA
Source: RNAcentral